RNAcentral lists this ribosomal RNA (305 nucleotides) under uncultured bacterium. RNAcentral's name for it is "bacterial SSU rRNA". It matches the Rfam family "Bacterial small subunit ribosomal RNA", at positions 335 to 639 of the family's 1533-position model. The record is from RNAcentral.
GUCCUACGGGACGCAGCAGUGAGGAAUAUUGGUCAAUGGGCGCGAGCCUGAACCAGCCAAGUCGCGUGAGGGAAGACGGUCCUAUGGAUUGUAAACCUCUUUUGUCGGGGAGCAAAAGACGCCACGCGUGGCGUUCCGAGAGUACCCGAAGAAAAAGCAUCGGCUAACUCCGUGCCAGCAGCCGCGGUAAUACGGAGGAUGCGAGCGUUAUCCGGAUUUAUUGGGUUUAAAGGGUGCGCAGGCGGCGAGUUAAGUCAGCGGUAAAAUUUCGGGGCUCAACCCCGACGAGCCGUUGAAACUGGCUU